UUUGGCAGGAAAGAAACGUCGCGGGUUAAUACCCCGCGGAACUGACGGUACCUGCAGAAUAAGCACCGGCUAUCUACGUCCCAGCAGCCGCGGUAAUACGUAGGGUGCAAGCGUUAAUCGGAAUUACUGGGCGUAAAGCGUGCGCAGGCGGUUUGGAAAGAAAGAUGUGAAAUCCCAGAGCUUAACUUUGGAACUGCAUUUUUAACUACCGGGCUAGAGUGUGUCAGAGGGAGGUGGAAUUCCGCGUGUAGCAGUGAAAUGCGUAGAUAUGCGGAGGAACACCGAUGGCGAAGGCAGCCUCCUGGGAUAACACUGACGCUCAUGCACGAAAGCGUGGGGAGCAAACAGGAUUAGAUACCCUGGUAGUCCACGCCCUAAACGAUGUCAACUAGCUGUUGGGGUCUUCGGACCUUGGUAGCGCAGCAUAACGCAGUGA
Molecule: ribosomal RNA, 436 nt
Filed under: Achromobacter sp. OUCC BK7
Lineage: Bacteria; Pseudomonadati; Pseudomonadota; Betaproteobacteria; Burkholderiales; Alcaligenaceae
Description: bacterial SSU rRNA
Rfam family: Bacterial small subunit ribosomal RNA
Source: RNAcentral